This 516-nucleotide long non-coding RNA is filed under the name Oryzias javanicus (javanese ricefish). RNAcentral describes it as "lncRNA (ENSOJAG00000014529.1)". Lineage: Eukaryota; Metazoa; Chordata; Actinopteri; Beloniformes; Adrianichthyidae. The record is from RNAcentral.
CUGACAGCUGAUUGACAGUUUUUACUGAACGACACACACUGUACAACAGCUGAGUGUUGGUCUUCUACUCUCCAGCAGCUGCUCUGCUGAGCACGCCACAUACUGUAGACUCAAGACUUUGGAGAGCUUUCAUUUCCAGACACCGGCUGUGUUAAUCCCUCCCAGAUCUUUGCGUGCAUACAGACCUGCAGAAACAGGCCGAAAAGGGAGAUCCCACUGUGUGUUCUUUCAGGGGUGUACACCUCAUGGUACAUUGCACAGGUGUGUAAGAUGUAAGUUGCACUGCGACAUAAAAAAAAGGAACAUAUUGCUCUUUUUUAACGAUUAUAUUAGCUUACUGUUACUCUGUAAAUUAAACUGACUUAAGAAGAAAUUUAAAAAAAAAGAAAAGAAAAUGACAUUUAUUCUUCCUAAAGUAGCCUUUUAUGGUUUCAUAUAUAUGAAUAUAUAUUACAAAAAAAAUACAGAUUGUAAACCUAAGUUGUUAAAAAUUGACUUCAAUAAACGAAAUCCUCU